UAGCUCAGCGGUAGAGCGAUCGAUUGUUAAUUGACUGGUCGUAAGUUUGAAUCCUUU
Molecule: transfer RNA, 57 nt
Filed under: Gossypium arboreum
Lineage: Eukaryota; Viridiplantae; Streptophyta; Magnoliopsida; Malvales; Malvaceae
Rfam family: tRNA
About the family: Transfer RNA (tRNA) molecules are approximately 80 nucleotides in length. Their secondary structure includes four short double-helical elements and three loops (D, anti-codon, and T loops).
Source: Rfam by way of RNAcentral